CCUUCAAACUAGAUCAGCAGCUCCGACUCCUCCCUGGGUCUCCAGCUACACAAUCCUCAGACAUGAACAAUAAUAGCACCGGCUCCUCCUUGGGUCUCCAGCUUCACUACCCUCAGACUAGAACAGCAACACCAGUUCCUCCCUGGGUCUCCAGCUCUACAAUCCUCAGACAUAAACAGCAGAAGCACCAGCUCCUACCCUUGUCUCCACUUCCACGACCCUCAAACUACAACAGCAGUACCGGCCUCUCCCCAGGUCUCCAGAUCCAUGACCCUCAAAAUAGAAUGGCAUCAUCGGAUCCCUCCUGGGUCUCCAGCUCCCAAACCCUCAAACUUCAAUUGACACACCGGAUGCUCCCCACAGUUAAACAGCAGCACGGGCCGUUCCCAAAAGCUCCAGAUCCACGACCCUCUGACUUAAAUGGCAGUAGCACCGGCUCCUCCCUAGGUCCACAACUCCACCACCCUCAUACGAGACACCAAGACUACCUCCUCCCCGCUCUCCAGCUACACGACCCUCAGUCUUGAACAGCAGCAGCUCCUCCCUGUGCCUCAAGCCCCAUGACCCUCAGACUUGAACAAGAACAACACCAUCUCCCCCCAGGGCUCCAGCUCGGGGACCCACAGAUUUAAACAGCAGCACCGGCUCUUCCUGUGAUCUCCAGCUCCACUAACCUCAAACUAGAAUAGCAGCACCAGCUCCUCCUUUGGUCUCCAGCUUCACUACCGUCAGGCUAGAACAGCAACACCGGUUCCUCCCUGGGUCUCCAGCUCAAUGACUCUCAGAUUUGAAAGGCAGCA
RNAcentral lists this long non-coding RNA (800 nucleotides) under Homo sapiens (human). RNAcentral describes it as "long non-coding RNA NONHSAT189749.1". Lineage: Eukaryota; Metazoa; Chordata; Mammalia; Primates; Hominidae. The record is from RNAcentral.